GGCACUACAUGUUCAUAUGGUUCGAAGUUUAUUUAGUUACUCAUUCUGGUAUAUGCACUCUCUUUCUUUGCAGCAUGUUGAUGCUAAUUCUUAUAUGCUAAUUCUUAGGGAUAACUCUUAGAAACAGUUUUAUAACUUAAGAUUUUCUUAACAGGGAUAAUGGUUAGGGUUGCUGACUGCCCCGUACCAAAGGAUCGGAGCUUGAAUCCCGGAGAAGGAAUGGAUGUUUGCAAGCGUAUAGUGUCUGUGCAGCGAUGGGACAUACCAAAUACAUGGCAAGCCAAAAUUCUCUCAACAGGCUGGUGGUAGAAGAAGAGGAUAAGAGACUCUUGGAGCGCAUUUUCCCUCCUUAGCAGUUAGCAUGGAGAGGCGAUACCUUCUUGUAAAUACCCGCUGUCCCCCCAAGAAUUGUCUUGACCUGCACUUAUAACGGGGGUAUAAAACGAAAAUGGUUAAAUUUUGUUUAACCUUACAGAGCCGGGAAUCCAUUCUUUCCCUUUUAUGUAAAUUUUAAGAGUACACUUGGAAGUGUUCAUUUCUUAUUUUAUACACUAGUCUUAAAUGGGUAUUAAGAAAAUUUAUAAACCUCUUUCUUCGAUUCAAAAAGUAUUUUAAGACCAUUCCUUUUCCUUAUUCGCCUUAUCUGACUAUGAAAAUGUUAAGUUUUCAUAUUCUCAUUUCAUGUCCUCUAAAAACUAGUGUAGCGUAAAAGAACUGAAUUAGUAACUCUAGCAGCGUAAAAGACCCCAGUUACUAACGUCUCUAUCAAAGCAAGAAAAAUCUAUCUCGGUUUGAAGUAAAUGCAUUUGUAAUUAAUAGUCUAAGAAGAAAUUUAGCUCUAUUUACGCUCAGGAAAAUCAACAAGCAGUAACAGUGCAUACGACUAAAACAUACCACUUUCGAGAAGGAGUUGUGAACAAAACUACCAUUAUUCAAAUGAAUUAUCCCUCGACGUUUGGAAAAGGAAAGCAAAAGCAAAUGAAAGAAAUAAGGAAAAGCUAAUUAAAAGAAAACAAAUGAUAUGAUACAAACAAACUAAUUCAUAGUUCAUUAUUUCACGAAAAUGUUGGGAAGUGAAUUUUAGAGAUCUGCGAAAGCUCAAUGAUAUGGUGUUCCGAUACAUCCAUUUCACGGAAGUUAAGUAAGAAAACUACAAACGUAAAUAUGAGUAAAUUGAAAAGAGUGAAGAGAAUUAGUUGAAAAAUAAAACUGAAUCAGUAUUUUCCUGGUUUCUUAAUAAACACGUGUGAAUGAAUUUAUAAAGUUAGAUUUUAACCUUUUAAGAAAUAUGGCCAAGAUAAAAGUUUGGCAUUAAUUAUUCUUCAUUUCUUUAAUUUCAUAAGAGUAAAGAAAGGCUCUACUAUAUACUACUAUAUUUUUUAAUUUCUGUAUGACACUGUUUUAGGUAUCGUUGCAUACUUUUUAACUGCAUUAUAUGUAGAUGAGAUGUACCAAAAUUAAGCACUUUGAAAAUGCGUAGCACAUGAUCACAAUCAUGAACUGCAGAUUCACGAAAUGCUAAAGUGCAACUCUGUUUUGUACAACGCAUCAUAUACUAAUGCUAUAUAAUAUGAUUUGGGCUUUUUGAGUACUUUCUGACAAAGGGAACGCUGUUAAAACUUUAAUCAAAUCCGAAAACUGUGAAAUUCGAAUUCUGUAUUCACCUCUUGUGUUUAAUCUAUCAGUUCGUAAAACGAAUAAAGCUAAUACAUUUCGUUCAGAGAAGAUUCAGAAUCUUGUUUAAAAUAUAUCAGUAAAGAAGUUACAAUAUUUUUAGAAAGCGAAGUAAAACGCCUUAAAUGUAUGGUAAUUUAUGUACUCUUCACGCGAAACUGUUGAAACAAUUAAAUUUAUUUGUGCAAAUUCCUAUUUAUUAAAUUUAUAUGCUCCUCUUCUCGUGAUACACUUUCACAAAUAUUACAAAAACUGCUUCAAGACUGAGACUAAUUUUAAGUUCCUAUAGUUAAGGGAAUCUCUAUAGAAUAUACUCAGCAAAGACGUAAAAAUCUCAAGCUAAACAUAGAGACUAGGAAAGCUACAAACGCGAAUACAGGGAAAUUCAAGGAAAAAUCAGGUUUGCUUCUGAAGCUCAGUCUAUUGAUGAAGAAUUUUCCUGAGUUCAGACACAAAAGGGCUUACUGCGUCAUUUAGUGAUUGAUGGACCUUGUAGGUAUGUAUCGAAAAUGAUUCCUCCAUGUAACCAAAGGAGAUUAAGAGAUAGCGUUUAAUCUAACUUAACUAUAAUAAUUUAUGCGUUGUUGAAGUGCAAUAAUUAGUCUUUGAGCUUGAGGACUGUGCUGUCAAAAUAGUUAGGCAAUGUGAUGAAUUCCUUAUUCUAUACACGCGUGAAUAAUUGUUGUGCGUGUGAAUCAUAUUGCAAUGCAGAUAUUGAUCAUGAGUAUUACGACUCUCUUUCCAAAAAAUAGCCACCUAAGCAGUAAAUAAUGCAUUUAGGAUUUUGAGGAAUUUAUCGACUAAAUAUAAUUAAGGCAGCUAUUAGUAGCAACUGAAAUCUGGGUAAAGUAAGUAAAUUUUCAUGAAUAUAAUUUCAAAAUCAAACAAAAACUCCUUUAAUAGCUGGAGCAAGAAUGACGAAAAGAAACAUAUCAUUGCGUGCUAUAUGAAAUAUAUGCUGCAUGAGCUCGAGAUAUUCUAGAAUUCUCUUUGUUUUUCUUAAAUGUUUCUUUUCCUCAUUUUCACACUAGAAGAUGGGGGAAAAUAUUUACUUUCUGAAACUAUAGUAGUGCAAAUUUGCUCAUGUUACAUCAAUUACAUAUACUCUAUAGUUUGUCGAUAGGCGAAGAGGGGUGGGAGAACCUAGGACUCUGAGAUCUGACAAGCUAGGUUAGUCACAACAACAACAACAUAUGCUUUAACAUUUUGUUCUUUAAUUCCUUCCUUUCGUUGCAUAUUAAUAAGCUAAAUUUGGAGAUUCGGAACCGGAUUACCUCCACUUCAGAAGAUAAAUGAAGCUUCGAUAUUCUUGCGAGUGAAGGAUACCUAAGAACUUUUCAAAAACUAUGCCAAGCAAGCAGGACGAAAUUGUCAAUUUGUUGUAAAAAUAACAGCUAUAAAUAUCUCAAGGAACAUGCUGAAAUAAGGCAAAUUCUCAUUUAACAUACAAGAACUAUCGCAGAUUACGGAUAACAUACACGGUGUAAACUCUAGAGCUAAGUUUUCUCAGCUUAGCUGUUUGAACUGCACGCUGAAGAAACUGGACUAACUGCUGCUGCUUAAAUAACACCCGCUUAAAUCUUCUGGAUGCUUCAGGAAAAACCGAUGCUACAACUGCAAAAUUAAGUUUUUUGAAAAUUUCCGAAAUCUCACCACGUUAGUCGAAAAUCGCCAGAUAUAGUAAACCUAACUUAGCGAUAAAAAUUACCACCAAGGCUUUUCAAAAGCAUUUUCUUUUCUAACCUAGGCUGCCGCCCAAUCGGUAUAGUGGUUAGCGUCGCUGACUGCCGUGCCAAAGGGCCUGGGUUCGAAACACGGGAAACACAUGGAUGUUUGUAAAUGUAUAGUGCCGGUGCGGCAUGGCGGCGCUCUAAAUAUGCGGUUAGCCGAAAAUCAUCUCGUGUGAUCUGGUGGCAGGGAAGAGAGGUGGGAGACUCUCGUACUCGUCCCCCGGUGUGCUCGCCAUCAAAACUGGGGGCGGAACUGAACCAAAUCGCACUGAGCAGAAGCAACAAGAACAAAUCUCGGCUUCCAGUCAAGCUGAUUCACAAUUUUAAAGUUGAAGGAUUUAGAAUCACUGCAUCUACAAUUCUUGCUAAGAAAUAAACGUUUGAAAGGACAUUAAUAUAGUCAUAAAUGCAUGCAAAACUUAUUAUACAUAUUUCACUAAAUAAGCAAACAAAUUAAUUAAAACAACACAUAGCAUUAAAGAAAUACACAAAAAUAAUAAUACAAUCAAUUUCAAAAAUCUACAGAAAUUUACAGUAUAGUAAUCUCCUUAAGAACUGCUCAUCCACACAACACUGUGUCGUUUUCUGUUUUGAUGAAAAGGAAGGGUUCCUCCCUGGAAGUCAGCGCUUUAGGUGAGAUCAUUCGACAACGCUUGGCAUCGCAACGUGUUUUUGUCCUCUCAGUCGCUGCACUGUUCCUUAAUUUGAUGUUUAGUUUGUGUGUGAUUACGGCAAAGCCUCAAGGGCUUUCUAAGGAAAACUGGCUUGUAUACCCGUUACACGCGGGGAAUACUACGGAAACAACCAUGCAGCCAGCCCGUUCGCGGGACUCGGACAGAACUACCAGUGUCGAGCGACUUUACCGCUCCGCCACUGGUGAUCCCUUACUUUUGAGGAAUCGAUGAAAGUCUUCUAAACAUGACUACUGGUCUUUCAGUUACUGAUAAGGGGAAUAAGGCUAUCCCAAUGAACCUUAUUCCCCAAUUAUUAGGGUAUCCAAAGGGCAGGUUACAUGGCAGGUGAAGAUCAUGGCCCAAAAUCAUUUGCGACGAAGAAAUCCAUUGCACUACGGGCAGCACUCUGAUACGCUACCAAGGGUGUAGGCAGUUUUCGAUUUCAGUCCUGUUGACUCCGGGUUGCGUAUGCAGAGUAUUUAUCCAAUAUUAUUCGGUUAAAUCAUUUUGAUAUCUGACAGUGAUUGUCAAGGUGUGAUUUGAGGUUUUCUCAUAACUAGAAAUUUGCAUAGUUCUGUCCAUAUGGUAGAUAUGUAGCCUUUUACUUGCUCAGAGAAAAUAAGAAAAGACGAAAAGACACAUCUGAUCGAAACAUCUUCUAGAAUUUUUUUAUAUAAUUUGUUAUGUCUGCUUGGCAUCGUGCCCGAAGAAAUGUUCCCGAAUUAUAUGUAGUGUUUUUAUUACACCAAAAUAAACAUCAGGAGUGCUACCGUGAAGCGAUUACUCAAUACUAGGGAUCCGAAAUUUCUGUAGGAUGAGUUUCUGUUUGAAAUCCUUUCCUCUGUUGGCUUUAUAUUUGUGGUAGGGAACUUCUUUUUACAAAUAAAGCAAAUCCAAUAAAGCCCAAUAUCUUUUCGUCAUCGAGCAAAACGUUGCCAUUUCUGGCUAGAUGAGGUUUCACUAGUUGUUUCUAUUAAAUCCCUUAAGCUCCGUUCAAGAACUUUCAUUUGAAACUUUUGCAGCUCUUCUUUGCUCCAGAAGUCUUUGAUUUUAUAGCGUUUUAUUAAUUUCUCUGACCACUGGGACUUCAAAUCCUAGGAUUUCGAAUGAUUUUUGAACUUUUCUGCAUAAGGUCCCCUUGAAGUGCACCACAUUUCGUGCAAAGUUCUUUUACGACGUCAACUUUCUAUAUAUUAUUCUCGUAGUUAUCAUCUGAAAAGCUAACAACCUGUUUAUAAUACCCAGCUCAGAAAGUUGUAGAUGUUUUCCCAAGCGAAUCACGAGUUGGGACUCUCUCUAUUUUCGAAACGGAGUCUUCUACAGGAAAUUCGAAUCGGAUGAUAUAAAAGCAGCUCAUAUUACAGGAUCAUGGUUCCGUCCUUACAGAACUACCUACCCGUCCGACAGUAGGUUGCUUGUGCAAAAUAUGAAAUAAGUCGAAAACAAAUUUCGGCUUAGAGAUGGUCAUGUUUGAGAGAAGGAUUAUGUGUAUUAAAAGUUCAGAAGUUCUAGAUGCCGUCGUUUUUAAUGCGAGGAAUAUGCAUUCCAUGUAUCCUUAUCUUUCUGACGAUGCUUCUCAUUCUGAAUCCUUUCAUGUUAUAUUUUACAAGAGAUGCCACAAUUUACAUACAUUUUCACUUAAAUUACUUACACAUACUAUAUACAAAUUUCGCACCAAUAUUUUAAAUAUUGUUCCAACUUUAUAUGUUAUAGGUAAUAAAAUUAAGAAAGAUGAGUUUUUCAUGCUUACUAAGUAAAUGAAUGAGCUUCAACUAAAAGUUUCAGUGAAUAAUUAGAUCGUUAGUACAAGGUAAUUUAUUAACAAAGAAAUUGAGUAUUGAUAUAAAAAGAAACUUAUUUAUAACCUUAAAAACCUUAUUUAUAACCUUAAUUCUUAGGGAUUUAUAAUACUCUUUGUCAGUGUGAUUUGGUAAAUGUUGGUAAAACUAAGCAGAUGGAAAUAUUUCGCAUUAAAGAGCAUGAAUCCUAAAUUAGAGAUAAGGAGCAACAGCUAAUCCUAAUUGCUCCCUUAACUCAAUUGUGUAACCCAGCUUUAGUUCCGCUAAAUUAUCAAAGGACAUUUUCACUUGAAGAGCUCCACACUCAGAAUUUAAUUAAUGGUACGAAUUCAAAUUUACGUUUUUCCAAAAACUUUCAAAAUUAUAAUCUUUAACUUUGAUAUUUAUCGUCUUUCGAUUCUUUUUGUUCGAUAGCUGUUCCCAUCUUGUCUUCUGAUGAAAUUAUUUGCUUAGUUUCUUCAAUUGUUUUAACUACAUGUUUAGUUAUCACUGCAUUUUGUUUUCCUUUCAAGAAGAAGUAGAAACGACAAUGGAGAUUUAGAAGACAAUCCGUCGUCUUCAAAAUAUAUAGAGCUUCAUGUAAACCGACUUCAAUUUAAGUUCUUUUUUCGUCUAAUUUGGAAUUUUACAAUGACAAGCUAUUUUCGCUGCAGAGAAUUAAAUGAAACUAAGACGUCAUUUAUCAUUGAGUGCUAUAGAAUAAAAACGUAAGAAGCAUUUUUGUUAGUCUAUAACCCAGCAUAAUGUUUACAAGGAACCCCACACAUGUUUAAUAGGAAAAGUUCUUGGCAUAUAUGCAUUAUUCUUAAACUCUUACUUUUCGAAUUCUUGUUUUUUUAUUAGAAGUUUAGGCAACAGUAUAAGCAACUUAGGGACCGCUGUAUGUUGAUAAAUUAUAUGGUUAAGAGCUACACAAAGACUUCAAUAUCUAAAUGGUCAGUCUAGUGACGCUAACUUACUGAAAAAGAAAGAAACAUCAAGUAGACAUCAAAAGCACUGAACGAAGAUCAAAGAUACCGAACAACUGCUUAUGGUCACUCCUGCUUAAAUAAUGUUUAAAUACGUGGCGUAAAUUUUCAGCGCCACGUCAGUAUAGUUUCUAACAUAUGAAGCACUUGCUGGAAAUGCAGAUUCUCAACAGAUGUGUUUUAUAUUAAGAGAUAAAUAAUAUAAUAACUACUUGUUUACAGUACUGAGUAUUCAGGAAGGCACUGAGGUACUAGAGUUGUAUAAUUAUAAAAGUUACAUUUCCUUUACAGUCAAAUCAUUGAUUAUAAUAUUGUAUGAUGAAAAGGAGCAAACUAUAUCUGUUUCGUGAUCAAGUAUUUUCCUAUUUAAUCAAAUUAAUUUCUUAUAAAAUUCUGAUCUCAGGUAUCAUUGUAGAGCAUAGACUUUGUUGUCUUCUCUUUAAAACAAAAAUACUGAAUUAUUACCUAACAAUUAAGAAACUUUUCAAUGCGGCCAUUACUUGAAGCUCUUAAAACCGAGAUUUCUUUGCCAAGAAUUUUCUUAUUCAAGAACAUAAUUCUCGAAUUAUGCUUGGAUUAUAGUUAAACACAAACUCGAAUUAUUAAUAUAAAUUUACUUAAAGCAUUUGGUACCUAUCUGUUCAAGCAUAAAAGAAAUGGAAGCACCAAAAAAUAAGUAUAAAAUAAUAUAGGAAAUGUACAAUAUUUACAAAUACUUUUAACCCACUAUGCUUUACGGUACAAUUUAGAAUAAUGUGGAUUAGAAUAUUUAUAAUAGAAAAUAUAUUUAUCCUGUCAGAUAAUUCCAGUUAUCGCCCAUUUAAUCCAGUUAAUCGUCUUUUGAUGCUUCUAUUAAAAUAGAAUGUUUUUAUUGAAUCUUUUCAGAUAUUUGGUCAUUAGUAACUGUUUAUUUUUAAAAACGCAAAGGAAAAAAAUAAAAUAAAAUCCAUUGCAAAGUCUGAGUUAUAUGUAACUUGCACAUUAUUUACAAAGUAUAAACAGAGAAUGACAUCUACUAAAAAAUUAUGAGAAUAUGAAAUCCAUAGAAUUUCCUCUUCAUUCAGUUUUCACACAGCAAAAGUGAAUAGAUUUUUUAGAAUCAUUCCAUCCUAAAAUAAAACAAAAGCUGGAAACAGAAAACAGAAAACAAGGAUUUAGAGCUAGAAUCAGAGGUUCUGAAAACAGGAAUUACGUUCAGAGAAUAUUAAGCUUCUCUCCUGUAGCUUCCGAUUACGUUACAUUUAUACUAUGUCCUUGUAGAAUAAAAAAUAUUUUUGACUUUC
RNAcentral lists this long non-coding RNA (8128 nucleotides) under Stegodyphus dumicola. Its description in RNAcentral is "uncharacterized LOC118181752". Lineage: Eukaryota; Metazoa; Arthropoda; Arachnida; Araneae; Eresidae. The record is from RNAcentral.